This is a long non-coding RNA of Hemicordylus capensis (graceful crag lizard), 407 nucleotides long. RefSeq lists it as uncharacterized. The record is from RefSeq and is a predicted model, not a curated record. NCBI's taxonomy places the organism in Eukaryota, Metazoa, Chordata, Lepidosauria, Squamata, Cordylidae. The transcript is spliced from 3 exons.
AGGAAGAAUGUCCAGCGCUGGUUGCCCUGGCCCACCACAGCUCUCUGCAGACCCUCUGCCCAGCCCAGCCUUUGCCUGCAUAGUAACAGAGGGACAAGUCAUCCACAUGGGACUACAGGAAACAAAAGGAGAGAGAACCACUACUCCUGUCAUCCUUUGCCUUUCCAGAAAGAGGAUAAAGGCCAAAGACUGAACCGGAGCGCUCAGUAAGCAAAGGUGGUAGAAGAUGAGUGGUGGUUUUGCCAUCACUCCUAGGCAUUUCUUCCUCCUCAGCACUGCUAUCUAUUCGAAAGUUGCUUGCAAAGCCCGAGAAAGGUGCAAUUGUAUUUGCAGCCAGCCGUGAUGCAUGGGAGCUUCCACUGUGCUUGAUUUCACGUUCUCCGACUAAGCCUGCGUAGGCACUAUUC